This 474-nucleotide ribosomal RNA is filed under the name uncultured bacterium. RNAcentral describes it as "bacterial SSU rRNA". It matches the Rfam family "Bacterial small subunit ribosomal RNA", at positions 335 to 801 of the family's 1533-position model. The record is from RNAcentral.
ACUCCGUACGGGAGGCAGCAGUAGGGAAUCUUCCACAAUGGGCGCAAGCCUGAUGGAGCAACACCGCGUGAGUGAAGAAGGGUUUCGGCUCGUAAAGCUCUGUUGUUAAAGAAGAACACGUAUGAGAGUAACUGUUCAUACGUUGACGGUAUUUAACCAGAAAGUCACGGCUAACUACGUGCCAGCAGCCGCGGUAAUACGUAGGUGGCAAGCGUUAUCCGGAUUUAUUGGGCGUAAAGAGAGUGCAGGCGGUUUUCUAAGUCUGAUGUGAAAGCCUUCGGCUUAACCGGAGAAGUGCAUCGGAAACUGGAUAACUUGAGUGCAGAAGAGGGUAGUGGAACUCCAUGUGUAGCGGUGGAAUGCGUAGAUAUAUGGAAGAACACCAGUGGCGAAGGCGGCUACCUGGUCUGCAACUGACGCUGAGACUCGAAAGCAUGGGUAGCGAACAGGAUUAGAUACCCUGGUAGGAUAGCG